GGGAAGCAAACAGGAUUAGAUACCCUGGUUAGUCCACGCCGUAAACGAUGAAUGUUAGCCGUCGGCAAGUUUACUCGUCGGUGGCGCAGCUAACGCAUUAAACAUUCGGCUUGGGGAGUACGGUUCGCAAAGAUUAAAACUCAUAGGAAUUGAUGGGGGCCCGCACUAGCGGUGGAGCAUGUGGUUUAAUUCGAAGCAACGUGCAGAACGAUACCAGCCCUUGACAUCCCGGUCGCGGGAUCCAGAGAUGGAUCCCUUCAGUUGGGCUGGACCGGUGACAGGUGCUGCAUGGCUGUAGUCAGCUCGUGUCUUGAGAUGUUGGGUUAAGUCCCGCAACGAGCGCAACCCUCGCCAUUAGUUGCCAGCAUUCAGUUGGGCACUCUAAGGGGACGGCCGGUGAUAAGCCGAGAGGAAGGUGGGGAUGACGUCAAGUCCUCAUGGCCCUUACGGGCUGGGCUACACACGUGCUACAAUGGUGGUGACAGUGGGCAGCGAGACCG
Molecule: ribosomal RNA, 500 nt
Filed under: Mesorhizobium sophorae
Lineage: Bacteria; Pseudomonadati; Pseudomonadota; Alphaproteobacteria; Hyphomicrobiales; Phyllobacteriaceae
Description: bacterial SSU rRNA
Rfam family: Bacterial small subunit ribosomal RNA
Source: RNAcentral